RNAcentral lists this ribosomal RNA (253 nucleotides) under uncultured bacterium. Its description in RNAcentral is "partial 16S ribosomal RNA". It matches the Rfam family "Bacterial small subunit ribosomal RNA", at positions 524 to 776 of the family's 1533-position model. The record is from RNAcentral.
UACGUAGGGUGCAAGCGUUAAUCGGAAUUACUGGGCGUAAAGCGUGCGCAGGCGGUUUUGUAAGUCUGUCGUGAAAGCCCCGGGCUCAACCUGGGAAUUGCGAUGGAGACUGCAAGGCUUGAAUCUGGCAGAGGGGGGUAGAAUUCCACGUGUAGCAGUGAAAUGCGUAGAGAUGUGGAGGAACACCGAUGGCGAAGGCAGCCCCCUGGGGUAACACUGACGCUCAUGCACGAAAGCGUGGGGAGCAAACAGG